ACGCUCGACACCUACAGGAGGCAGCAGUGGGGAAUAUUGCACAAUGGGGGAAACCCUGAUGCAGCGACGCCGCGUGAGUGAAGAAGUAAUUCGUUAUGUAAAGCUCUAUCAGCAGGGAAGAAAGUGACGGUACCUGAGUAAGAAGCCCCGGCUAACUACGUGCCAGAGCCGCGGUAAUCUGAGCGGGCUGGCAAGGC
RNAcentral lists this ribosomal RNA (197 nucleotides) under uncultured bacterium. RNAcentral describes it as "partial 16S ribosomal RNA". It matches the Rfam family "Bacterial small subunit ribosomal RNA", at positions 328 to 539 of the family's 1533-position model. The record is from RNAcentral.